Molecule: ribosomal RNA, 231 nt
Filed under: uncultured bacterium
Lineage: Bacteria
Description: partial 16S ribosomal RNA
Rfam family: Bacterial small subunit ribosomal RNA
Source: RNAcentral
UGAGUAACCUGCCCUUGACUCUGGGAUAAGCCUGGGAAACCGGGUCUAAUACUGGAUAUGACUGUCGGCCGCAUGGUCUGGUGGUGGUAAGCUUUAUUGCGGUUUUGGAUGGACUCGCGGCCUAUCAGCUUGUUGGCGGGAUAAUGGCCCACCAAGGCGACGACGGGUAGCCGGCCUGAGAGGGUGACCGGCCACACUGGGACUGAGACACGGCCCAGACUCCUACGGGAG